CAUUAAGGUGAAACCGCGAAAGGCUCAUUAAAUCAGUUAUGGUUCCUUAGAUCGUACCCACAUUUACUUGGAUAACUGUGGUAAUUCUAGAGCUAAUACAUGCAAACAGAGUCCCGACCGGAGACGGAAGGGAUGCUUUUAUUAGAUCAAAACCAAUCGGCGGCGGGUGCGUUCGCGCGCGCCCGUUCGCCGCUCAACUUGGUGACUCUGAAUAACUUUCGGCUGAUCGCACGGUCUCGCACCGGCGACGCAUCUUUCAAAUGUCUGCCUUAUCAACUGUCGAUGGUAGGUUCUGCGCCUACCAUGGUCGUAACGGGUAACGGGGAAUCAGGGUUCGAUUCCGGAGAGGGAGCCUGAGAAACGGCUACCAC
Molecule: ribosomal RNA, 371 nt
Filed under: Exocelina leae
Lineage: Eukaryota; Metazoa; Arthropoda; Insecta; Coleoptera; Dytiscidae
Description: SSU rRNA
Rfam family: Eukaryotic small subunit ribosomal RNA
Source: RNAcentral